Molecule: ribosomal RNA, 492 nt
Filed under: uncultured bacterium
Lineage: Bacteria
Description: partial 16S ribosomal RNA
Rfam family: Bacterial small subunit ribosomal RNA
Source: RNAcentral
AGUGGACGCUGGCGGUAGGCCUAACACAUGCAAGUCGAACGGCAGCACAGUAAGAGGUUGCGCUUACGGGUGUCGCGUGGAGGACGGGUGAGGAAUACAUCGGAAUCUACUUUGUCGUGGGGGAUAACGCAGGGAAACUUACGCUAAUCCAGCAUACGUCCCCCGGGGGAAAGCACGGGUUCUUCUGACCUGGCGCGAUUGAAUAAGCCUAUGUAGGAUUAGCUAGUUGGCGGGGUAAAGGCCAACCAAGGCGACGAUGCGUAGCUGGUCGGAGAGGAUCAAGAGGCACAUUGGAACUGAGACACGGCGCACACUCCUGCAGGAGGCAGCAGUGGGGACUAUUGCGCGAUGGGGGAGAUGCUGAUACAGCCCAACGGCGUGGGGGCAGAAGGCGUUCGGCUUCUAGAGCCCUUAUGUUGGGAAAGAAAAACAGCUGGUUUACACGCCGCGAUACUGACGGUACCCAGAGAAUAAGCACCGGCUAACUCCGUG